CGGGAUGAGUAAUGUCUGGGAAACUGCCUGAUGGAGGGGGAGUAACUACUGGAAACGGUAGCUAAUACCGCAUAACGUCGCAAGACCAAAGAGGGGGACCUUCGGGCCUCUUGCCAUCAGAUGUGCCCAGAUGGGAUUAGCUAGUAGGUGGGGUAACGGCUCACCUAGGCGACGAUCCCUAGCUGGUCUGAGAGGAUGACCAGCCACACUGGAACUGAGACACGGUCCAGACUCCUACGGGAGGCAGCAUG
This 251-nucleotide ribosomal RNA is filed under the name uncultured bacterium. RNAcentral's name for it is "partial 16S ribosomal RNA". It matches the Rfam family "Bacterial small subunit ribosomal RNA", at positions 100 to 353 of the family's 1533-position model. The record is from RNAcentral.